This 253-nucleotide ribosomal RNA is filed under the name uncultured bacterium. RNAcentral's name for it is "partial 16S ribosomal RNA". It matches the Rfam family "Bacterial small subunit ribosomal RNA", at positions 524 to 776 of the family's 1533-position model. The record is from RNAcentral.
UACGGAGGGGGCUAGCGUUGUUCGGAAUUACUGGGCGUAAAGCGCACGCAGGCGGACGAGAAAGUCAGAGGUGAAAUCCCAGGGCUCAACCCUGGAACUGCCUUUGAAACUCCUUGUCUUGAGGUCGAGAGAGGUGAGUGGAAUUCCGAGUGUAGAGGUGAAAUUCGUAGAUAUUCGGAGGAACACCAGUGGCGAAGGCGGCUCACUGGCUCGAUACUGACGCUGAGGUGCGAAAGCGUGGGGAGCAAUCAGG